This 118-nucleotide ribosomal RNA is filed under the name Cephalotus follicularis. Lineage: Eukaryota; Viridiplantae; Streptophyta; Magnoliopsida; Oxalidales; Cephalotaceae. The record is from RNAcentral.
AGGUGCGAUCAUACCAACUCUAAUGCAUCGGAUCCCAUCGGAGCUCCGAAGUUAAGCGUGCUUGGGUGAGAGUAGCACUAGGAUGGUCUUUGUCACAGGACUUUCAUAGACACAGGCA